CACUGGGUAUCAUCAAACUUUUUGCAAAUAUAUAAAAAAUGGUAUCUCAUUUUAAAAUUUAUCAUUUCUUUACUUUUCCAAGUGGGAGAAAAAAAAAAUAAAUGAAUAAGAUUUAUCAUUCCUUUAAUGAGAAGUAAUAUAAUUAAAACUUAUCACUUAUUUAAUGAGAAGCAAUAUAAUUAAAAGCUGAUUUUUUUUUUUGCAUAAGCAAUAAGGCAAAAACCCAAGUCUCAUUUUUUUCCAAAUGGUUAGCCAGUUAUCCUCAAAUGGUUUGUUGACUAAUCCAUAUUUUUCCCCAUUGAUUUGAAAUGCUGAAAUGUCGUUUUUCUUGUUUAGUAAAUUUUCUUAUGUACUUAGGAACCAAGUUAUACGCUCUACAGAUACUAAAGGAAAUAAACAUACUUCUCGAGAAAGCUGUUUUGCCAAUACGGUAACCGUGGUGGCGGGCGCCUGUAGUCCCAGCUACUCGAGAGGCUGAGGCCCCCUCAUCACCUUCUUCCUUCUGUCCAACCUCCACUGCCCCGGCCUUGACCCCUCCCCAACUCCUUCCUCCUAUCAGGUCUGGACCCUACCCCCACCAUUCUCACCUCAGUCUUCCACCAAUCAGGCCUCAACCCCACCACCCUUCCCCCACACUCGCACCUCCAACCACCUCCAGCCACCUUCAACUGCUCCCAACCGGUUUUCCAAGCAGGCU
Molecule: long non-coding RNA, 697 nt
Filed under: Homo sapiens (human)
Lineage: Eukaryota; Metazoa; Chordata; Mammalia; Primates; Hominidae
Description: non-protein coding lnc-CXCR3-9:1
Source: RNAcentral